UCUUGUCUUACAGAUGAGGAAACUGAGGCACCGAGUGGCUGAGUCCUGUGCCCAAGGCUGCCCGCUAUUCAGCAGAAGAGCCAACGUCUGUGCUUUUGACCCCUCUGCUUCCCGCCUCCCUGUGACCACUUUCGUUCUGUCUUCCCUUCGCUCUGUUGAGUUUACCUUGUCAAGCCUCCCUGACUCCAGCAUGUUUCAUCCUCAAAUUCCACUGGCUGGAUUCCAUAGCACCAGCACCGUGUCUAUCUUGAAAAGACUGCCAAGAUGGCCCCUCUUGUUGCGAAAGACCAUCCAAGGAAGAAACCACAGACUCUCAAUCGUCUAUUUUAGAGCCCACUCCUUUGGGAAGUCCUUCCUAAUGUCUAAAAUUCACUUUGCUUCAAUGUGUUUUCGCUGCAACCUCUGCCUCCUGGGUUCAAGUGAUUCUCAAGUCUCAGCCUCCCGAGUAGCUGGGAUUACAGGUGCUCACCACCACACCUGGCUAAUUUUUGUAUUUUUAGUAGAGAUAGGGUUUCACCAUGUUGGCCAGGCUGAUCUCGAACUCCUGGCCUCACAUGAUAUGCCAGCCUUGGCCUCCCAAAGUGCUGGGAUUACAGGCGUGAGUCAGUGCACCCGGGCUUGUUUACUGUUUUUGUGGCCCAGUAGGAUCCAAGCCUAGUUGACCAAGGACUAUCAUUUUCUGGCAAACAAAAUUUCUCAUGCCCCUUUCUCAUGCCCCGUUCACAGAGGGGAGGCUACCUAAUGAAUUUUUAAAGCACUGGAGUCUGGAGUUCAAGUACCCACUCUGCCACUUACUGGCUGUGUGAUGUGACCUUGGGCAAGUUACUUUGGGGGCUACAUGGCAGCUCUAGCUCCUUCCCCUCACCCCAGCUCCAGUCUCCCCAACAGGGGUGAGACUUUGUCUCCCAGGAGCAGGAGGGAGGUGAUUUGAAGGAGACGAGAAGAACUGCUCACUCUGCCCAGAGUAACUGGUGGUAAUCCCGCA
RNAcentral lists this long non-coding RNA (985 nucleotides) under Rhinopithecus bieti (black snub-nosed monkey). Its description in RNAcentral is "lncRNA (ENSRBIG00000045085.1)". The record is from RNAcentral. Lineage: Eukaryota; Metazoa; Chordata; Mammalia; Primates; Cercopithecidae.